Molecule: non-coding RNA, 939 nt
Organism: Taeniopygia guttata (zebra finch)
Lineage: Eukaryota; Metazoa; Chordata; Aves; Passeriformes; Estrildidae
Source: RefSeq, a predicted model, not a curated record
UCCCAGAACACAGGAAAAGCCCUCAGGCUGAGCCCCUGCUGUGGCAGCCCAGCUUUGGAGCAGAAGGAUUCUUCAUGGCACCGCUCCAGGGUUAAAAUAUAACCUGGAAGCAGAAUUCCAGCCUGCUCCAGGUCAUUAUCAGGGAGCAACACCUGAGAGAGCAGGAGAAAGGGCUCAUUAAUUCCCCUCUAAUUCCCCUCCCUGCCCUGUUAGAGGCAUGGGAAGGAGAUUAAAGUUCUUGCUCAAGGGGAGGAAAACCUCGAUAAACGCUGUGGAGCAAUCCUGAGAAAUGUGUCCUUGCCAGUUUUAUUUCCUUGGAUCACAGAAAGGGAAGUUCCUGUGCCCGGUGCCGUCUGGGGUUCAUGGUUCCUGCUGGAAUUACGGGCGUGGAUGUGGCUCUCCAGCUUUAAAUGUCAUUUCAUGUGGAAAACACAGUGACAAAGCCUGCCAGCAGCACGGGUUUGGUCUCUCUCCAAGGAAAUAAAGGCGUGAUAAUCCCCUGGCUUCUCCCAGAGGGCAAGAAAGGGAGAUUUAAGCAAUUCCUGGGUUAAAUUCCGUGUUGUGGAAGGGUUUUAUGCUCUCAGCUUCGCACAGGUUGAGUUUCCUGGUCUCAGGGAUGGGGGAUGGCUGGGACACCUGGGGACAGCAGCUGGCUGUCACCUCCAGCUCUCCCACAUCCUGCACAAGUGUUUUGCCAAGCUCAGGAAAUGCUGCCAGGUCCCCAAAAUCAAUCAGGAGUGAGUCCCAUGCGUGACAAUGUCAUUUAGUGUUAUUUUCUCCAGCAGCUGCGUGUUCCCACCAGGAACAGAGAAUUCCCAGCACAAAUAAGGAAGAGAGGAAGGAGAACAGCUCGUGCUGCCCCCAGCGCCUCUCCAGGCUCUGAGGAUGGCUUUCCUCCUUCCCAAGGCCCGCACAGCAAUAAAUUGUCCUGCAGUAUCA